UUGAUUUGGUCUGUGGCUCACACAUGAAGCAGUUCUACUCUAUCUGGAAACAGAAAUUUUGAAACAGUGAUACUCUUUGAAUUAUGUUAAAUUUGAGCAAAUUGGUAGGAAUAGACAAAGCCUGACUUUAGGGGAGCCUUUUACACUUUUGAUUUAAUUUAUUUGAUAUUUAUAAAAAGUAAAGUGAUAACUCAUGCUUAACUUAUUUGCUUAUAAAAGGGGAUUAUAAAUAUUAGUGAUGGUACAUAUAUGCAAUCUCAGUACUUGGGAGGCUAGUCCUAUAUAUGACCAUUUCAAAACUGACAAUGAAUAAGUAAGUAUAUAUAUUAUAUAUAUUUUAUAUAACACCUAUAUCAUAUAUUACACACCUCACUGUAGAUGUCUAGUAUGAUACAUUACAUAGAAGGUUUAUGAGAUCUCUUCAAUAUUUCAUAAGUUCUCUUACAUUUAGCUAUGAAUUAAUACUAGGCCACAUUAUAUUGGCUACAUUUUACCUUUUGAAUUAGUUCUGUUUCAUGUUUUCAUGAAAAAUAAGUCUGAACUGGAUUGCUGGUAGUCUUUAACAUGCUUUCCUUAUUACAAUAGUUUUCUUGUAUAAAUUGAAUUGUUAAUAGUUAUUGGUAACAUUUUAAGCAAAAGUAUAUGGAAAAUAUAUGUAGGUACAGGUUUCUGUGUAUCUAGGAUGUUCUUCUUAUUUUUUUUUAUUGAAAAUAGAUUUUCUCACAUAUUAUAUCCUGAUUUUGGUUUCCCUUCUCUGUACUCCUCCCAUCUGAUCUCCACUUCUCCUCUCAUUCAGAUCCUGCCACUUUCUUUCUCUUAUUAGAAAGGAGCAGGCUUCUAAGAGAUACUACUGAAAUAUAAUAUAAUAAAAUAAAAUAUAGUAAGAUAACACAAAAGCUAUCUCAUUGAAGUUGGACAGGACAAACCAAGAGAAGGCACAAGAAUCAGAGAUCCAUUUGCUCUAAC
This 966-nucleotide long non-coding RNA is filed under the name Mus musculus (house mouse). RNAcentral's name for it is "long non-coding RNA chr14:87428349-87429315". The record is from RNAcentral. Lineage: Eukaryota; Metazoa; Chordata; Mammalia; Rodentia; Muridae.